AGUUAUGCAUAUUAAGGUAAAAAGGCAGUUAAGUACAUAGAUAACUAUUGGUUUACUUAUUUUUUAUAAAAAGGUAAAAUUUAGAUAUAAAGGAAUAAUUUAAUGUAAGUCAAUUGAAAUUGAGUCUGCGACAACCUUGAGGGAAACUGGGAUUAGAUACCCCAUUAUUCUUGGUCGUAAAUAAAUGAUGAUUUACCGGAGUACUAUGAAUCAAUUUAAUAAAAUUUAAAACUCAAAGGGCUUGGCGGUGUUUUAGACUUCUCAGGGGAGCCUGUCUCAUAAUCGACAAUCCACGUUAAACCUAACCUUCAUUUGCAAUUCAGUUUGUAUACCGUCGUCGUCAGGUAACUUUUAAAAAAUAAGAAGUUGGCAAAAAAAUUUACUAAAUUUAAACGUCAGAUCAAGGUGCAGCUUAUAUGAAGGUGAGGAUGGGCUACAAUUAAAAUUUAUAAUUACGGAGGGAAUAAUGAAAUACUUUUUUGAUAGAAGGAGGACUUGAAAGUAAAAUAAAUUUAUAUAAAUAGUUUGAAUAAAGCUCUGAAACGUGC
Molecule: ribosomal RNA, 548 nt
Filed under: Ranellidae sp. MNHN-IM-2007-43041
Lineage: Eukaryota; Metazoa; Mollusca; Gastropoda; Littorinimorpha; Ranellidae
Description: partial 12S ribosomal RNA
Source: RNAcentral